AGGGGACCUUCGGGCCUUGCGCUAUCAGAUGAGCCUAGGUCGGAUUAGCUAGUUGGUGAGGUAAUGGCUCACCAAGGCGACGAUCCGUAACUGGUCUGAGAGGAUGAUCAGUCACACUGGAACUGAGACACGGUCCAGACUCCUACGGGAGGCAGCAGUGGGGAAUAUUGGACAAUGGGCGAAAGCCUGAUCCAGCCAGGCCGCGUGUGUGAAGAAGGUCUUCGGAUUUAAAGCAAAGGAGUUGGGAGGAAGGGC
Molecule: ribosomal RNA, 255 nt
Filed under: uncultured bacterium
Lineage: Bacteria
Description: partial 16S ribosomal RNA
Rfam family: Bacterial small subunit ribosomal RNA
Source: RNAcentral